This 252-nucleotide ribosomal RNA is filed under the name uncultured prokaryote. RNAcentral's name for it is "partial 16S ribosomal RNA". It matches the Rfam family "Bacterial small subunit ribosomal RNA", at positions 525 to 775 of the family's 1533-position model. The record is from RNAcentral.
ACGUAGGAGGCAAGCGUUAUCCGGAGUUACUGGGCGUAAAGGGCGUGCAGGCGGUUGGCUAAGUUCGUUGUGAAAGCGCUCUGGCUCAACCGGGCGAGGACGUGCGGAACUGCUGAACUAGAGGCAGGUAGAGGCAAGUGGAAUUCCGGGUGUAGUGGUGAAAUGCGUAGAGAUCCGGAGGAACCCCGGUGGCGAAGGCGACUUGCUGGGCCUGAACUGACGCUCAGACGCGAAAGCAUGGGGAGCGAACGG